AUGCUUUGGUUGCCCAGAGGGACAGCAGAGAAGGGGAACCCUCGGUGUUUUCCCAUCCCAAGUCCGCUACAGCCCAGGAAAAUCCCCAGUUUUUGCUGCUUUAAGAACACCGAGUCUGGAGAAGCCAAAACCGAAUAGUUCCAGCAGAACCCGAUGAAGAAAACCGUCUUCCCUGAAGGUUUGCCCUUUCUGUUGGUGGGUGAAAUGCUCUGACUGGUCCUGCCUCUCCGUGACUCUCGGCGAGAUGCCGCUGGCUUCACCUCUCCACCCCAGCACUAACGAACCCACGGGUUAAUAUUUAUUAGGGGCCAGGGAGUGUGCCAACACGUGCGGCCCCAGUGAUUUUGGGGGCACCGCAGAUCCUUCUGCCCCCUCAUUUCUUCCCGUUACCGCCCAGUGAUCACAGGGGACCUGGCCCCGGUUGGGACGGACCCGAGCCAGCCCCAGCAGCUUGCUCUGAGCCUUCGGGAGAUUUUUUCUUUGCCAGACUCUGCUAAAAUUGAGCAAUCCCUCGGCGCUCGCCGCCUGCCCCGGUCCCGGCGCUGGAGCGGCUCUCAGGCGCCUUUCUGCACAGCGCUGCCCCCGCCGCGCUUUAGCUGCUCAUUCAAGCGGCGUUUCCUCUUUCCUCAUCUCUUUUUAAGGGUAUUUCACCCAAUUUUGGCUCACAUGUGCUCUUCAUGCAGCUGUAAGCGGCUUCACCACCCCUUCACGUGCUGGGUGGGCAGCGGGACUCGGACGCUGCAGGCGUCAUCGCCAAAGCAACCCCGAGAUAAGAGGACUAGGGCACUGUUUUUGCCUUUCUUCUCCAUUUUUACCGUUCCCAUUUAGGCUCGCGGGCUGAGAAGGGAAAGCUUCUGCUUUAGCAGAGCCAUCGGUGCUCAGAAAGCAAGGUGCCAGCACCGGGUGCUGGAGAUUUUUGAUGGCGCAGCCCAAAAAUGGGGGCUCAGCCUCACGCCUUGGGUUUUGGCGGCCUCACGAGCGGGGGUUUGGGUGCAGCAGCGCUGCUGGGGACGGGGCAGAGCUCAGCGCUGCGGCCAGCGACGGAGAGACAUGGGAUAAGGGUCAGUGCCCGGCCUGCAUGCUCCCAUCUUGGGUGCUCAGAUCUCAAAUGCUGGGAAGCUCAGAGACUUGGAUCUUGGGUGCUCAGGUGCUCCGAUCUCAGAUCUCGGGUGCUGGGAAGUUCGGAUGCUUGGAUUUCGGAUGCUCAGAUCUCGGCUGUUUGGAUUCUUGGAAGCUCAGAUGCUCAGGUCUUGGAUGCUUGGAUGCUGGGAAGCUCAGAUCUUGGAUCUCAGAUGCUCAGAUCUCGGAUGCUGGGAAGCUCAGAUGCUUGGGUCUCGGAUGCUCAGAUCUUGGAUAUUCGGAUUCUUGGAAGCUCAGAUCUCAGAUGCUCGGACGCUGGGAAGCUCAGAUCUCAGAUAUUCGGAUUCUUGGAAGCUCAGAUGCUCAAAUCUUGGAUGCUUGGAUGCUGGGAAGCUCAGAUCUCGGAUCUCAGAUGCUCGGAUCUCGGAUAUUUGGAUUCUUGGAAGCUCAGAUGCUCAGAUCUCAGAUGCUCAGACGCUGGGAAGCUCAGAUCUUGGAUAUUCGGAUUCUUGGAAGCUCAGAUGCUCAGAUCUCAGAUGCUCGGACGCUGGGAAGCUCAGAUCUUGGAUCUCAGACGCUCGGAUCUCAGCUCUCGGAUGCUCAGAUGCAGGGCAGAAGUUGGCCACCUCUGGGAAGGGGAAUCAAAAACCUCAUUUGCUUGCAAACGCAAAAUCACCCGUGGUUUUCCUCCGCACAGGCAGCCCGGCUGGCUCACCCUGUCCCAGGCAGCCGGGAUGGGCAGGAUGCGGCCCCCACAGCCCCCACCCGCCCGGCAGCAGGGUGGCACCGAGGGCAGCUGGGUGCUGGGGUGCUGCCGGCAGCGCCCGUGGGCAGGAGGACGCCGGAGAACAACCCACGGGGGAGGAACUGGCACCUCCCCGGGCGGUUUUUGCUGCCAUGGGGCAUUUUCGGGGCCGGAGCUGCACGGGGGCAGCGGCCCGGCUCAAAGGUCCCGCGGAGCCCCCGGGGGCUCCUCCAAGUUCAUCAGCCGAGCAAAUCAUUAACGCUCGCCGCAGCUGCUGCGCCCGGGGACCUUCGGACCGCGGCGGGGCCGCAGCGCGCGCGGGAGGGCGCGAGCACCUCUGUGCGCUCGCACGCGCACGUGCAAGCCCCACGUUUGGGCACACGCGUGGCGGCGUCCCCCGCCCCCCGCACGGUCCCAAAUCCUGCCCCAAACGUGGGGGGGCUGCCAAAAGGUCUCUGCUGCACCCCCAGGAGCCCCCCCCCCAAGGAGCAGGGAGGUGGCAGCCGGCACCCAGCACCUGCGGCGCUGGGCGUGCGAGGGGCACGCGGGGGUGGCAGAAAGCCACGGCCGCCUGUCCCCUGCCCCGUCCGUGUCCCCACGCCGUGCCCUACCUGCUGGCUGUGCUGCUCCCCCCUCGCUGGGGCCUGGCUCCGAGAGCUUCACCUGCGGCAGAAACAAACGGGCACUGGUGCACCACCCCAGACACUCGUGCGUCCCCCUGCGCACUCCUGCGUC
Long non-coding RNA from Anser cygnoides (Swan goose), 2560 nucleotides. The record is from Ensembl. NCBI's taxonomy places the organism in Eukaryota, Metazoa, Chordata, Aves, Anseriformes, Anatidae.